AUCGAACGCUGGCGGCAAGCCUAACACAUGCAAGUCGAACGAGUGGCGGACGGGUGAGUAACGCAUGGGCAACUGGCUGAUGGAGGGGGAAAACCACUGGAAACGGUAGCCAAUAACCCAAACCUGAGGAUGUGACCAGAGUGGAUUAGCUAGUGGGUGGGGAAAAGGCUAACCGAGGCGACGAUCCCUAGCGGGGCUGAGAGGAUGACCGGCCACACGGGAACGGAGACACGGCCCGAACGCCUCCGGGAGGCAGCUGUGGGGAAUAUCGCAAAAUGGGCGCAAUCCUAAUGCAGCCAGCCCGCGUGUAUGAAGAAGGCCUUCGGGUUGAAAAGUACUUUCAGCGGGGAGGCGUUACCCGCAGAAAAAGCACCGGCUAACUCCGUGCCAGCAGCCGCGGUAAUAC
Molecule: ribosomal RNA, 406 nt
Filed under: uncultured bacterium
Lineage: Bacteria
Description: partial 16S ribosomal RNA
Rfam family: Bacterial small subunit ribosomal RNA
Source: RNAcentral